This 253-nucleotide ribosomal RNA is filed under the name uncultured bacterium. RNAcentral describes it as "partial 16S ribosomal RNA". It matches the Rfam family "Bacterial small subunit ribosomal RNA", at positions 524 to 776 of the family's 1533-position model. The record is from RNAcentral.
UACGUAGGGUGCGAGCGUUGUCCGGAAUUAUUGGGCGUAAAGAGCUCGUAGGCGGCCUGUCGCGUCGGCUGUGAAAACCCGAGGCUCAACCUCGGGCCUGCAGUCGAUACGGGCAGGCUAGAGUUCGGUAGGGGAGACUGGAAUUCCUGGUGUAGCGGUGAAAUGCGCAGAUAUCAGGAGGAACACCGGUGGCGAAGGCGGGUCUCUGGGCAGUAACUGACGCUGAGGAGCGAAAGCGUGGGGAGCGAACAGG